GUCUAUAGCCAUGCCACCCUGAACGUGCCUGGUCUCUUCUGAUCUCAGAAGCUAAGUAGGGUCGGGCCUGGUUAGUACUUGGAUGGGAGACCACCUAGGAAUACCGGGUGCUGUAGGCA
This 119-nucleotide ribosomal RNA is filed under the name Pteropus alecto (black flying fox). The record is from RNAcentral. Lineage: Eukaryota; Metazoa; Chordata; Mammalia; Chiroptera; Pteropodidae.